This is a long non-coding RNA of Homo sapiens (human), 1375 nucleotides long. RefSeq lists it as uncharacterized. Lineage: Eukaryota; Metazoa; Chordata; Mammalia; Primates; Hominidae. The transcript has 3 exons. The record is from RefSeq and is a predicted model, not a curated record.
CAAGGAGGAAAGUGACAGAGGGCAGAGACUAUCUAGUGUCAAAAGCAGUUGCAACAGUUCCACAUUGGUCUCAGAUGUUUGCAAUUCUGUGUUUAGUGUUGUUGCUCACUAACAGCUGAAGUCUGAAAAGGGAAGGCAUUUUAUUGGAGGAAUUUCUCAGGUAUAGGCACUUCUCUAAGACCUAUGCCUUUGAGAUUCUGCAGACUCCCUUCACAAUUAGCAGAAAAUUUAUGCACAAAAUUUUCCAUACAAAUUAAGGAAUUUACUCAUCCUUAGCACUGUCUCCAAGUCCCAUACCAAAUUCAAUUAUUCAUGUAUUCAAUAAUUCCAGAAACAGUUAAUUGAAUAGCAAUGUACAAUGGUGGAUAAGAGGUAAGGCUCUGAAGCCAGCCUGCCUGAGUCGAAAUCCAGGCCCUGCCUGGGAGACCUUGGCAAGUAAGGUCUCUCUGUGCUUCAUCUAUAAAAUGGGGAAGAUAAUAGAGCCUACCGCACAGGGUUGUUAUGAGGAUUGAUGGAUUAUUAAAUGUGAAACACUUGGAACAAUGUCUGCCACUGUAGUAUGCAAGAUUCCUUAAAUGCCCCUCAAAGAUGUUCUCCCCUAAUCCCCAGAACCUGGGAAUAUGAUGAAACAUCACUCCCCCUUGUUAUGCAGGCACAAUUGAGUUAAAAUAGGAGAUUCUCUGGGUGGGCCCAAUCUAAUCAUACGAGCCCCUUUAAAAGCAGAGUGCUUUCUUCAGGGGCUGGUAGAGGAGGAAGUCCGGGAGUUUCCAAGUGUGAGAAGGACUUGAUGUGCCAUUGCUGGCUUUGAGGAGAGGGCACCAAGUGAGAAGGAAUAGACACCUUCGGAGCUGAUAGACACCCCGGCUGACAGCCAGCAAGGAAAUGGAGACUCAGUUCUACAGCCUCAAGGAAGUAAAUUCAGCUAACAAUGCGAAUGAGCUUAGAAGUCGAUUCUUCUCAGAACCUCCCCAUAAGAGCCCAGCUGGCUGACACAUUGACUUCAGCCUUGUGAGAUUCUGAGCAGAAAAUCCAGUCAAGUCUUCUUGGACUUCAGAACUACAGAAUGGGGUGAGGAGAAUGAGCUGACAGAUUCUCAGUAAUGCAGCCAAGGAUGUGAAGAGGCAGGUCCGGAGCUUGCUGGAAGGACCAACUGUGCACACUCACGUUGGCAAGCUCCGGAAUCCCAGCUGAGCCAAGGCCCUGGCUUUACUUUACCUGGGAGAAGAGAUCAGACCUCUACCCUCCGAAAUAGCUGACCAUUCAUCUGGCAAAUAAUGGAACACCCUGACUGAUUUCCUUGUGUUGGCUGUGUUAAAAUAGCUUAAUAAUCUCCAUGCAACAGAACUCCCUUGAGUAAAUGUGAGUUUCAGACCCA